This is a small nuclear RNA of Pygocentrus nattereri (red-bellied piranha), 166 nucleotides long. Its record names the gene U2. It matches the Rfam family "U2 spliceosomal RNA". Rfam says of the family: U2 is a small nuclear RNA (snRNA) component of the spliceosome (involved in pre-mRNA splicing). Complementary binding between U2 snRNA (in an area lying towards the 5' end but 3' to hairpin I) and the branchpoint sequence (BPS) of the intron results the bulging out of an unpaired adenosine, on the BPS, which initiates a nucleophilic attack at the intronic 5' splice site, thus starting the first of two transesterification reactions that mediate splicing. The record is from Ensembl. Lineage: Eukaryota; Metazoa; Chordata; Actinopteri; Characiformes; Serrasalmidae.
AAAUUUGUUUUGUUUUGUAGCAUAAUUCUGAUUGGUUUUGGCGUUCUCUAUAUGAGGACUACAUAUUAAAUAGAUUUUUAGAACAGGGAGAUGGAAGAGGGGCUUGCUCUGUCUGCACCACACAUUGACCUGGCAUUGCAGCACCUUCGGGAAUGGUGCACCUCCU